UGGGGAAUCUUCCGCAAUGGACGAAAGUCUGACGGAGCAACGCCGCGUGAGUGAUGACGGCCUUCGGGUUGUAAAGCUCUGUUGAUCGGGACGAAUGGUUCUUGUGCAAAUAGUGCGAGGAUUUGACGGUACCGGAAUAGAAAGCCACGGCUAACUACGUGCCAGCAGCCGCGGUAAUACGUAGGUGGCAAGCGUUGUCCGGAAUUAUUGGGCGUAAAGCGCGCGCAGGCGGAUUGGUCAGUCUGUCUUAAAAGUUCGGGGCUUAACCCCGUGAUGGGAUGGAAACUGCCAAUCUAGAGUAUCGGAGAGGAAAGUGGAAUUCCUAGUGUAGCGGUGAAAUGCGUAGAUAUUAGGAAGAACACCAGUGGCGAAGGCGACUUUCUGGACGAAAACUGACGCUGAGGCGCGAAAGCCAGGGGAGCGAACGGGAUUAGAUACCCCGGUAGUCCUGGCCGUAAACGAUGGGUACUAGGUGUAGGAGGUAUCGACCCCUUCUGUGCCGGAGUUAACGCAAUAAGUACCCCGCCUGGGGAGUACGACCGCAAGGUUG
This 550-nucleotide ribosomal RNA is filed under the name uncultured bacterium. RNAcentral's name for it is "bacterial SSU rRNA". It matches the Rfam family "Bacterial small subunit ribosomal RNA", at positions 355 to 896 of the family's 1533-position model. The record is from RNAcentral.